GACGAACGCUGGCGGCGUGCCUAAUACAUGCAAGUAGAACGCUGAAGGAGGAGCUUGCUCUUCUGGAUGAGUUGCGAACGGGUGAGUAACGCGUAGGUAACCUGCCUGGUAGCGGGGGAUAACUAUUGGAAACGAUAGCUAAUACCGCAUAACAGUAGAUGUUGCAUGACAUUUACUUAAAAGGUGCAAUUGCAUCACUACCAGAUGGACCUGCGUUGUAUUAGCUAGUUGGUGGGGUAACGGCUCACCAAGGCGACGAUACAUAGCCGACCUGAGGGGGUGAUCGGCCACACUGGGACUGAGACACGGCCCAGACUCCUACGGGAGGCAGCAGUAGGGAAUCUUCGGCAAUGGACGGAAGUCUGACCGAGCAACGCCGCGUGAGUGAAGAAGGUUUUCGGAUCGUAAAGCUCUGUUGUAAGAGAAGAACGAGUGUGAGAGUGGAAAGUUCACACUGUGACGGUAUCUUACCAGAAAGGGACGGCUAAUUACGUG
RNAcentral lists this ribosomal RNA (495 nucleotides) under uncultured bacterium. RNAcentral's name for it is "partial 16S ribosomal RNA". It matches the Rfam family "Bacterial small subunit ribosomal RNA", at positions 28 to 507 of the family's 1533-position model. The record is from RNAcentral.